ACGAACGCUGGCGGCGUGCUUAACCCAUGCCAGUCGAACGGAAAGGCCCUGCUUUUGUGGGGUGCUCGAGUGGCGAACGGGUGAGUAACACGUGAGUAACCUGCCCUUGACUUUGGGAUAACUUCAGGAAACUGGGGCUAAUACCGGAUAGGAGCUUCUGCUGCCUGGUGGGGGUUGGAAAGUUUCGGCGGUUGGGGAUGGACUCGCGGCUUAUCAGCUUGUUGGUGGGGUAGUGGCUUACCAAGGCUUUGACGGGUAGCCGGCCUGAGAGGGUGACCGGCCACAUUGGGACUGAGAUACGGCCCAGACUCCUACGGGAGGCAGCAGUGGGGAAUAUUGCACAAUGGGCGGAAGCCUGAUGCAGCAACGCCGCGUGCGGGAUGACGGCCUUCGGGUUGUAAACCGCUUUCGCCUGUGACGAAGCGUGAGUGACGGUAAUGGGUAAAGAAGCACCGGCUAACUACGUG
This 467-nucleotide ribosomal RNA is filed under the name uncultured bacterium. RNAcentral describes it as "partial 16S ribosomal RNA". It matches the Rfam family "Bacterial small subunit ribosomal RNA", at positions 29 to 507 of the family's 1533-position model. The record is from RNAcentral.